The sequence is a transfer RNA, 74 nucleotides long. It matches the Rfam family "tRNA". From Rfam's summary of the family: Transfer RNA (tRNA) molecules are approximately 80 nucleotides in length. Their secondary structure includes four short double-helical elements and three loops (D, anti-codon, and T loops).
CGGGGCGUAGCUCAGUUUGGUAGAGCGCUCGCUUUGGGAGCGAGAGGCCGCUGGUUCAAAUCCAGUCGCCCCGA